RNAcentral lists this ribosomal RNA (255 nucleotides) under uncultured bacterium. Its description in RNAcentral is "partial 16S ribosomal RNA". It matches the Rfam family "Bacterial small subunit ribosomal RNA", at positions 78 to 334 of the family's 1533-position model. The record is from RNAcentral.
UCUUUCUUUGCUGGCGACCGGCGCACGGGUGAGUAACACGUAUCCAACCUGCCCUUUACUCGGGGAUAGCCUUUCGAAAGAAAGAUUAAUACCCGAUAGCAUAAUGAUUCCGCAUGGUUUCAUUAUUAAAGGAUUCCGGUAAAGGAUGGGGAUGCGUUCCAUUAGGUUGUUGGUGAGGUAACGGCCCACCAAGCCUUCGAUGGAUAGGGGUUCUGAGAGGAAGGCCCCCCACAUUGGAACUGAGACACGGUCCAA